Molecule: long non-coding RNA, 1673 nt
Filed under: Solanum tuberosum (potato)
Lineage: Eukaryota; Viridiplantae; Streptophyta; Magnoliopsida; Solanales; Solanaceae
Description: long non-coding RNA (STUB_LNC002381)
Source: RNAcentral
AAAAGUUCCAAAACUAGUCACUUGACUACAAUUCAAAGGACUAAUCUUGACUCAAAUCAAAGGAAUGACAAAUGGAGGGACUCUAAGAGUUUUUAAAAGAAACUAAAUAAACAUAGCAAAUCAAUAGUUCUCUUGCCACGCGAAGCAAUGCGGGGCUCACCAGAUGCUACCAACUCACACGCUAGUUAAUGAAAUCCUCUUCAAUACCACCUGAAUUCUCUAGUAAAAACAAUUAGCGAGGAGUGAGACGCUAGCUCAGUGAGUAAUAAUACUUAACCACAACCAUUUUAAUGAGGGACAAGUCAGAAAACAUGCUAGUGUAAUAGUCAUAAUGAUGAAACAAUGCUCUUUCAGAAACAAUAACAAUAUUCAAUCUUAGGUGUCUCAUAUAAGCAAAAUCAAUGUAAAUACCUAAUAAUAUACUAGUUCUACCUUCCCACUAGCAAGGACUUUAUCAGUAAUCGAUAACUACAAGGUGCACCAGGUCUAACGAACCCGCCGUUAGCUACGAGAUUCAUCAAGGUCUACUCCCAUUUAUAUUUUUCUUGUAAUCAGUAAAAACAAUUCAAAAUCGAACAGAGCAUUUAAAUCUUAUCAAAUCAUAUCAUUUCAAAGUUUAACAAUCACCUGUCAAAAUACUAUUUCUCAAAUAAGUGUAAAACCUUUUCAAUAUCAAUAAUCAUAUCUUAUAAGAAUGAGAUCAUCUCAAAUAAUCUUUAUAAACAUUCGAUAACACAUUUACUUUAUAAACCAUGUGAAAGUCAUGCAAGUUAUAAAACAUCAAUUGUGGUAAAAUUACUACUCACAAUACUCGUGUUGAAGUACCAAAUCUGUCACUUGGGCAAUCUGUAUGACUUCCUUCAAUCAAUCUAUAAUCACAUCAUAUCGGUCUCGUAAUACUUCCUUCGUUUAGGCUAAUUCAUACUAAAUUCAGAAUACCCAAAUCUUUCGAGGUUUUAUGAUAGACUCUCAAUCUGUCAAUUUAUAUCAAAUUGGUGCUUCAGAUCCCGCAAAACAGUCUCAUUGUUGAUUACUUCACCCUAUAAUAAACAAAACUAAUGUCACUGUCCAGCAAUUCUUCUUCGGUUAUGCCGAACUACAAAAGUUUGGUCAAAACAUUCAACAUACUCUCUCAAACCGUAAGAUAAUAAGAGUUUAACGGAUUCCUUUAUUCCUUCUAAACCCAUGUUUUUCAAACUCUCAGUUCUCAAAUUUAUAGUCAGGGAAUAUACAAAUUCAAUCUUUAAACUAAGUUAAGAUACUUACCUUGAAAUCCAUACUUGAAAUAGCAAGAGUUCCACUUCUUCUCCAUUUAGUUAUUUUUCUCUAUUUUAAUCGAUUUCAUGACUCCUUCACAGGAAGAGGCUCCAAGAACAUACUCUUUCUUCCUUUUUUUUUUUUCAAGAGUUGCUGACAAAACUCUAACUCCAAUAAUUUCUUUAGCUUAAUUUAAUUUUUCCCUUAUUAGGUUUCUGAUGGGCUAAGGCCCAUUUGAUUUUUUUUUUAGCUAAUGACUAAUAUGUCCUUGUUUAAAAUAUGGGAUAUUACAACCAUUUACAGUUAUUGUUCUUGCCUUAAGUAGUAGGUUCUUUCAUGUUACUCAUCCCACUAUGUCACCUAAAUUGGGAUUGAUGAUGUCUAUAUUCUAUCAUUUUUGGUCAGUGAUGUGUUUU